GAUGAACGCUAGCGGCAGGCUUAAUACAUGCAAGUCGAACGGUAAGGUCUCUUCGGAGAUACACGAGUGGCGCACGGGUGCGUAACGCGUAUGCAACCUACCUUUAACUGGGAAAUAGCCCCGAGAAAUCGGGAUUAAUUCUCCAUAACAUCCUUGGAUCGCAUGAUUCGGGGAUCAAAGUUCAGACGGUCAGAGAUGGGCAUGCGUGACAUUAGCUAGUUGGUGAGGUAACGGCCCACCAAGGCUACGAUGUCUAGGGGUCCUGAGAGGGUGAUCCCCCA
Molecule: ribosomal RNA, 281 nt
Filed under: uncultured Bacteroidota bacterium
Lineage: Bacteria; Pseudomonadati; Bacteroidota
Description: uncultured Bacteroidetes bacterium partial 16S ribosomal RNA
Rfam family: Bacterial small subunit ribosomal RNA
Source: RNAcentral